Chlorocebus sabaeus (green monkey) is the source of this 2016-nucleotide non-coding RNA. The record is from RefSeq and is a predicted model, not a curated record. Lineage: Eukaryota; Metazoa; Chordata; Mammalia; Primates; Cercopithecidae.
GGGCGAGCACCCUGCGCCGGGGCACAUGCUGCCCCCGCCCCUGCGCGCCUGCGGCUCCCGGCUCUCCCUCCCCUGCGCCGCGCUCUCGCCUCGCUUUCCGCGGGAGCCUUCCAACCGGUCCUGGGGAGAAGGACGGGAGCUGUGGGAAGAGCGAGGGUGUAGAGAGGGAAGUUAGGGCUUCCGCUUUCUCCCCCCACUCCAGCGGCGGCGUUCAGUCCUCUGGGUGGAAUGUGCUCUCAGCGGCAGUGACGGCGGCCACAGUACUGGAGGCACCCGAGCCAUACACCCUGCAGUUGGAGAGGAAAGGAUGGCCGAGGUGGGAGAGACUAGAGUGAACCAGCAGGAGGAAGUCCUAGGGCCGCGAAGCUACGGCGGAGAUCUGUCCUGGAAAAGCCUUCUCCACCCUGGGCACUUUAAGCGGCGGUGGCGGCAAACAGCAGGAGGUUGCAGACCCGACAGCGAGCCUGCCUCAUUCCAGUCUUGCUCUGCCCUCCGGAGAUGACAAGUGAGAAAGAAGUGUCCGGCCGGGCCAUCCCCUUCAGUUAUCAAGAAUAACUGUAGAAUGUGCUGGGAAUGCAAUGUCCUGAGAUAAGGAGGAACUGCCUGAAACAGCCUGGACCUUAUUCCUGUACUUCCUAGGGAAUGUAACAUCUCAAGUUAAAGAGGAACUGCCUGGGACAGCCCUGGGAUUGUUCCUCUCUCCUGGGAAGGAAGAUCACCUCCAAAGCUUAUCCACUGAGUCACACUACCCCUGUGGCGGCAGGCUGCCUCUCCAGGUUCCUCAGCUGUGGUGCAACUGAAGCAAGCACAAUCAAGACUCCAUCUGUUCAAGGCAGCUUUCUCAAACCUUGGGGAACCUACUCACAAUGGAUCACAGGCUUCUUUUGUUUCUUGCUGCUUAUCUUGGGAAGCAAAAAUCAGCUGAGCGAAGAUGAGGAAGAAGGUGUUAAAAGUUUGAAGAGAAAAAAUGAAAAGGAUAUACUAAUCCAAGGGGAUGCGUAAGUAGAACAUAGAUAAUGAAAAUGCUGGCCCUUAGGAUUGUUGGGCGUAAAUGCUCAUAUGAUAUUGAUGGUCACAAAUUUGAACUUUCUCUAAAGCCAAUUUUUGCAUGUGUGUGCAGGCCUGGAGUAGUUGGAGAGGUGGAUUUAAUAGGAUUGAGGAUCAAGCAACUACAACCAGAGAAGAGUGGGACAAGGGAGAUAAAGGAUAUUGGCAGGGGAACAAUUAUAAACAUGGACCAUGAUCAAAACUGAAUUUGAAGGAAAAUAGGGAUAAGAGGGGUGGAAGGUAAAAAAUAGUGAAAAUGAGAUAGAAUUAAUAGACUGUAGGUCCCUGUAAAGUUGAAGAAGUAUUAUUAUGCAGUACUCGUUAUUGAAAUGAGGUCACUAUGCUUAAGGCACAGUGAAUCCUAGAAAACAGUGGCUUUUGUUUCUCAUUAGGCAAUACAUUCCUCUUUGCUCCAGAAUGCAACAUACAUGCAUCCUUUUCUGUACUAUUAUUUAUUAAGAAUUCAUACUUAAUUCCACUGACUGCCACUCAAUUUUAAUGUACAGUAGGGAAUUCCUGUACUAUAUAUUAUGAAUCCAUUCCUUUGAAUUUCAUUUAUAAUACUUCAUGACUGACACCUGGCUUUCCACCAAGACUCAAUUUUCAUAGCAAACCUCAUCAUCAUAAGCCCCCAAAUUAACAGGAUGAGGAGGAAGAAUUGGCAGGCUAAAGAAGAUGAUUAUAUCAAUUAAUGCAGAGAAAGCACUUGAUAAAAUCCAAUAUUCGUUUGUAAUUAAAAACUCUCAACAAGUUAGGAAUAGAUAGGAAUUACUUCAACUUAAUGAAGAGUAUCUUUAAAAACCUUGAGUAUUUUCAUCAAUUAUAACAAAUGUACCACUCUGGUGGUGAAUGUUGAUAAGGAGGGAAGCUAUACAUGUGUGGGGAAAGGAGAUAUGUGAGCAAUUUCUGUACCUUCUACUCAAUUUUCUGUGAGCCUAAACUUGCUGUAAAAAAUAAAGUUCAUUUUUU